AAAAUGUACAGCGAUGAGUUUUAACGUCCAACUUUGAUCAUCCGUCUUAUUUGAAAUUUUUUUAUAAUUAGCAAUUUUCUAGUUAUAAGAUGAUAAAACAUGAAUACUACUUUACUCGUGAAUUAUGUUUUUAAUUUUUUUUAAAAAAAAUUCAAAUAAAACAAGUUGUUAAAGUUGAACGCGGAAAACCAUGGCUGCACUUAUU
Molecule: non-coding RNA, 205 nt
Organism: Oryza barthii
Lineage: Eukaryota; Viridiplantae; Streptophyta; Magnoliopsida; Poales; Poaceae
Source: Rfam